This 460-nucleotide ribosomal RNA is filed under the name uncultured bacterium. RNAcentral describes it as "partial 16S ribosomal RNA". It matches the Rfam family "Bacterial small subunit ribosomal RNA", at positions 338 to 795 of the family's 1533-position model. The record is from RNAcentral.
CCUACGGGUGGCAGCAGUGAGGAAUAUUGGUCAAUGGACGAGAGUCUGAACCAGCCAAGUAGCGUGAAGGAUGACUGCCCUAUGGGUUGUAAACUUCUUUUAUAAAGGAAUAAAACGAGGCACGUGUGCCUUUUUGCAUGUACUUUAUGAAUAAGGAUCGGCUAACUCCGUGCCAGCAGCCGCGGUAAGACGGAGGAUCCGAGCGUUAUCCGGAUUUAUUGGGUUUAAAGGGAGCGUAGAUGGGUUGUUAAGUCAGUUGUGAAAGUUUGCGGCUCAACCGUAAAAUUGCAAUUGAUACUGGCAGUCGUGAGUACAGUUGAGGUAAGCGGAAUUCGUGGUGUAGCGGUGAAAUGCUUAGAUAUCACGAAGAACCCCGAUUGCGAAGGCAGCUUACUAAACUGUGACUGACAUUGAUGCUCGAAAGUGUGGGUAUCAAACAGGAUUAGAUACCCUGGUAGUC